RNAcentral lists this ribosomal RNA (253 nucleotides) under uncultured bacterium. Its description in RNAcentral is "partial 16S ribosomal RNA". It matches the Rfam family "Bacterial small subunit ribosomal RNA", at positions 524 to 776 of the family's 1533-position model. The record is from RNAcentral.
UACGUAGGCAGCGAGCGUUGUUCGGAAUUACUGGGCGUAAAGAGUGUGUAGGCGGUGUUUUCAGUCUGUUGUGAAAUCUCCCGGCUUAACUGGGAGGGUGCAGCGGAAACUAGAAUGCUAGAGGGUGGGAGAGGUAAGCGGAAUUCCUGGUGUAGCGGUGAAAUGCGUAGAUAUCAGGAGGAACACCAGUGGUGUAGACAGCUUACUGGACCACUUCUGACGCUGAGACACGAAAGCGUGGGUAGCAAACAGG